AGGCUCUGGGGUGUAACACGUAGGAUUGCAAAUCCUGAGAAGCAGGUAGUGCCUGCCGGAGCUUC
This 65-nucleotide transfer RNA is filed under the name Ptychadena mascareniensis (Masarene ridged frog). RNAcentral's name for it is "tRNA-Cys". The record is from RNAcentral. Lineage: Eukaryota; Metazoa; Chordata; Amphibia; Anura; Ptychadenidae.